UUACACAAAUCUAGGUGAGUAGAGACAGUGUUCUCUAUAAGGUUGAAAGUGAUGCUAUUUAGAAGUCAGAAUGGGAUUGACAAUGGAACAAACAAACUCUGGGAGCCGAUCUAGGUGAGUAGAGACAGUGUUCUCAGUGAUGCACGUGUAGGAAAAUAUGAGUUACACAAACUUUAAUUUGAUGUUUUCUUGAUUUUUGAUAGAUGUAAUGGU
Molecule: long non-coding RNA, 213 nt
Filed under: Carica papaya (papaya)
Lineage: Eukaryota; Viridiplantae; Streptophyta; Magnoliopsida; Brassicales; Caricaceae
Description: long non-coding RNA (CPAP_LNC002497)
Source: RNAcentral